AUUGACGGUUACCGCAGAAGAAGCCACCGGCUUAAUCCGUGCAGCAGCCGCGGUAUUACGGAGGGUGGCCAAGCGUUAAUCGGAAUUACUGGGCGUAAAGCGCACGCCAGGCGGUCUGUCAAGUCGGAUGUGAAAUUCCCGGGCUCAACCUGGGAACUGCAUUUCGAAACUGGCAGGCUAGAGUCUUGUAGAGGGGGGUAGAAUUCCAGGUGUAGCGGUGAAAUGCGUAGAGAUCUGGAGGAAUACCGGUGGCGAAGGCGGCCCCCCUGGACAAAGACUGACGCUCAGGUGCGAAAGCGUGGGGAGCAAACAGGAUUAGAUACCCUGGUAGUCCACGCCGUAAACGAUGUCGAUUUGGAGGUUGUGCCCUUGAGGCGUGGCUUCCGGAGCUAACGCGUUAAAUCGACCGCCCUGGGGAGUACGGCCGCAAGGUUAAAACUCAAAUGAAUUGACGGGGGCCCGCACAAGCGGUGGAGCAUGUGGUUUAAUUCGAUGCAACGCGAAGAACCUUACCUGGUCUUGACAUCCACAGAACUUUCCAGAGAUGGAUUGGUGCCUUCGGGAACUGUGAGACAGGUGCUGCAUGGCUGUCGUCAGCUCGUGUUGUGAAAUGUUGGGUUAAGUCCCGCAACGAGCGCAACCCUUAUCCUUUGUUGCCAGCGGUUAGGCCGGGAACUCAAAGGAGACUGCCAGUGAUAAACUGGAGGAAGGUGGGGAUGACGUCAAGUCAUCAUGGCCCUUACGACCAGGGCUACACACGUGCUACAAUGGCAUAUACAAAGAGAAGCGACCUCGCGAGAGCAAGCGGACCUCAUAAAGUAUGUCGUAGUCCGGAUUGGAGUCUGCAACUCGACUCCAUGAAGUCGGAAUCGCUAGUAAUCGUAGAUCAGAAUGCUACGGUGAAUACGUUCCCGGGCCUUGUACACACCGCCCGUCACACCAUGGGAGUGGGUUGCAAAAGAAGUAGUGUAGCUUAUCU
Molecule: ribosomal RNA, 979 nt
Filed under: Klebsiella pneumoniae
Lineage: Bacteria; Pseudomonadati; Pseudomonadota; Gammaproteobacteria; Enterobacterales; Enterobacteriaceae
Description: bacterial SSU rRNA
Rfam family: Bacterial small subunit ribosomal RNA
Source: RNAcentral